AAUUUGCCCACCUAAAAACAAUAAAUAAAUGAAAGGAGGGCAGGGACCGCGCCGGAGGGGGGGUUGCGAAGGGGGCCGCUCCAGAAACCCUUCGACCCACCACCACCACCCCGCGCGCCCGCCCGUCUUCCUACUGAGGAGUUUUCCUCUCUGCAGGGGAGAAAGGGAGUUCGGGUCCAGGUUCGCACAGCACCCGCCCCAACCGGCGGUCUCGCCCCCCGAGCUGCCUGCGGAGAAGGUAAAGGGGGUCCUCCUCCUGCAAUCGCCCCCUCCCUCAGGAACGGCCACCUCAGACUUAAGGGCCGCUGCCACCACCGCCUGUUUGCCGCGCGAGCCUCCCGUCUUUCCCUCACUGCACCCGCCCGGCCUCCCUGAGGCAGCUCCAGGCCCUCCCGCCCGGACGACGACGGAGAUGACGCUGGCGUCUCCGACUCACCUGCCCGACGCGGCUGACAAGCCUCCCCCAGGCCGAGUGAGAGCCGGCCGCGCAAAGCGGGCCCCUUUGCUCGGAGAGCGGCGUCGACCACGGCAGGCGGGCGGAGGCGGCACCACACCGGAAACGCCGACAGCAGGAACGGCGGCGGCGCAGCGGCGGCGGCAGGUCCUUAGACGCGCGCCGAGGGGGGAGGAGCUUGGUUCACCUCCAGCAGACCCCCACUGAGAGCAGUGAUGAUAGCCAGAGAACCAGCAAGGACCUGAAGGAGACCUCAGUGGAAGCAGCUCCCCCACCUCACCAGCCUACGGCGGCAGUUGCACAGUCACACUGGUGCUCAUACUAGAGGAACCCAUGGAGCUGCUCCUGCCAGAGAUGCCGGCUCAGCCUGUGCAAGGUCUGAUGGUGCCACCAUCCCCAGUAGCAGAGUCCUUUGAGGAUGCCCAUCCAGCCUGCCCUGUGAUUACGUGUCUGGAGUUCUCACAGGGCCCAAGAGGAGGAAGAUGGGCAGAGAACCAGAACAGGUGGAGGCCACACAACUUUCAUCCCAACAGAGAAGCUACUGUGACAGCAGGGACGCCUUCUGAACCCAAACAACACAGAGGAGAGCUCUUUCUGCUGCUGACAUUAGGACCCAGACCAUCACCUCUGGGCACUUCUUCCAGACCAAUGAGGCUUCAGAGGGAACCUGGAGAGGAAGAGACUUCUGCAGAAAUCUAGAGGACAAAAGUACAGCAAGGGGAACCCAGAAGCGAAAGGAGCCUGAAGUCUCUUGCAAGGGACCAUGAGAAGAGGAGAAAACACCAGUGCACCAGCCCAAGAGUCCUCAACUCCCAGCCAAUAAACACACAUCCUCAAAGUGUUUCCUGUUCUUUCCACAUGCAUCAUUUUGAACAAAUUGUCUUAACUCCUGUUUCUCUCUUUUCCCUCACUCUGCUUACCUGAGCUCUGAGCUGAGCUGCUGCCUUCUGAGAGUUCUGCAGCUGCUGCUCCAUCUCUUUCAGCACCUGCCUCUGCAUUCCAACUUGGUCCUGUAAGUACUGGUUCCGGGACUGGGCUUCACAAAGGGCCUGCUUGGUCUUUGACGACUCAACUUCCAUAGUUCUGAUGACAUACUGGAGGAAACGAAAGCAGGAAUACAUCUGCUGAAGUGAAGCACUCAGCAUCCCAACAGAAAGAUGUCACGGUUAAUCACAGGGGACUUCUACCUGACAAAGAUCUCUGACUGAAGUUCUGAAAACUGGAGGACUCUGCAUCAACCACAUCCUUCAAGGAGCUUCACUUUGAGAAAACUUAAGGAACAGAGCAUUUGCAAGCUAUUUUCUCUCACCUUAAUCUGCUGAGGCUGGGUUCUGAGGCUGGCGAUCAUCUCCUGACUGUCCCUCAGUCUCCGGCUGAGCCGCUCCUCCUCCUCUGCCUUCUCUGCUAGACAGUCCUUUAGCCGUAGCUCCACUUCUGCCAGGCGAUUGGUUUUCUGCUCCACUUCUAGGUCCAGUUCAGACAGGCGCCCUUUCACUUCUUCCGCUUCUUGCUUUAGCUGGGCCAGCUUUUCCUGCAACUUCACAUUCUCCUGAGCAGCAAGCAGGGAGGGAGAAAUACUGCACAUAAGGAACACUGCUGAGAUUGAACAGCCUGCAGGCCAGCCCCCCAGGAGGAAGAAGAAACAAUUCUUUACCUUGCUAUGCUCACAGUUCACACAUCUCACAGGCUGCUUCUUGAGCUCCUGCAGCUGUGCCUCACACAUCUUCAUCUCUUGCUUUAGACGCACAUUUUCUGCAACCAGCAGGUCUCGGUGCUUCUCCAGGUCUGUGCCACCCUGAGAAGAGUAUAGGAGGUAAUCAGGGGGUUAGAGGAACAUAGGCAUUGUGAGCAAUUUUGCUCCUUUAACUACCAAGUCAUCUACUGGACCCCAGAGAAAUCACACUAAGAGCUAGAAAAUUUUCCACUGAGAAAUAUAACAGUGGAAAGUUUUCAAUUUCAGAAAUGCUUCCAGCCAACCUGAGAUCAACUAAAACUCACAAGGAUAUCUAUAAUCGAAAACAUGCUAUUUAUUUAAGCAGAACAGGCAAAAUGUACAAGUUAUGGACUCAUCCUCUAAGGCAGCCUUUCCCAACCAGUGUGCCUCCAGAUGUUAUUGGACCACAAU
Rhineura floridana is the source of this 2579-nucleotide RNA transcript. RefSeq lists it as uncharacterized. The transcript is spliced from 4 exons. The record is from RefSeq and is a predicted model, not a curated record. NCBI's taxonomy places the organism in Eukaryota, Metazoa, Chordata, Lepidosauria, Squamata, Rhineuridae.